UCGGGAAUUUUGGGCAAUGGGGGAAACCCUGACCCAGCAACGCCGCGUGAAGGAUGAAGUAUUUCGGUAUGUAAACUUCGAAAGAAUAGGAAGAAUAAAUGACGGUACUAUUUAUAAGGUCCGGCUAACUACGUGCCAGCAGCCGCGGUAAUACGUAGGGACCAAGCGUUGUUCGGAUUUACUGGGCGUAAAGGGCGCGUAGGCGGCAUGACAAGUCACUUGUGAAAUCUCUGGGCUUAACCUAGGAACUGCAAUUAAGACUGUCCAUCUAGAGUUGAGUAGAGGGGAGCGGAAUUUCCGGUGUAGCGGUGAAAUGCGUAGAUAUCGGAAGGAACAUCAGUUGCGAAGGCGGCUCUCUGGACUCAAACUGACGCUGAGGCACGAAAGCGUGGGUAGCGAACAGGAUUAGAUACCCAAGUAGUCCCUGAGCGGGCUGGCAAGGCGCAU
RNAcentral lists this ribosomal RNA (447 nucleotides) under uncultured bacterium. Its description in RNAcentral is "bacterial SSU rRNA". It matches the Rfam family "Bacterial small subunit ribosomal RNA", at positions 355 to 825 of the family's 1533-position model. The record is from RNAcentral.